RNAcentral lists this ribosomal RNA (663 nucleotides) under Faecalibacterium prausnitzii. Its description in RNAcentral is "bacterial SSU rRNA". It matches the Rfam family "Bacterial small subunit ribosomal RNA", at positions 863 to 1533 of the family's 1533-position model. The record is from RNAcentral. Lineage: Bacteria; Bacillati; Bacillota; Clostridia; Eubacteriales; Oscillospiraceae.
AGUAAUCCACCUGGGGAGUACGACCGCAAGGUUGAAACUCAAAGGAAUUGACGGGGGCCCGCACAAGCAGUGGAGUAUGUGGUUUAAUUCGACGCAACGCGAAGAACCUUACCAAGUCUUGACAUCCUGCGACAGACAUAGAAAUAUGUUUUUCCUUCGGGACGCAGAGACAGGUGGUGCAUGGUUGUCGUCAGCUCGUGUCGUGAGAUGUUGGGUUAAGUCCCGCAACGAGCGCAACCCUUAUGGUCAGUUACUACGCAAGAGGACUCUGGCCAGACUGCCGUUGACAAAACGGAGGAAGGUGGGGAUGACGUCAAAUCAUCAUGCCCUUUAUGACUUGGGCUACACACGUACUACAAUGGCGUUAAACAAAGAGAAGCAAGACCGCGAGGUGGAGCAAAACUCAGAAACAACGUCCCAGUUCGGACUGCAGGCUGCAACUCGCCUGCACGAAGUCGGAAUUGCUAGUAAUCGUGGAUCAGCAUGCCACGGUGAAUACGUUCCCGGGCCUUGUACACACCGCCCGUCACACCAUGAGAGCCGGGGGGACCCGAAGUCGGUAGUCUAACCGCAAGGAGGACGCCGCCGAAGGUAAAACUGGUGAUUGGGGUGAAGUCGUAACAAGGUAGCCGUAGGAGAACCUGCGGCUGGAUCACCUCCUUU